CCUACGGGAGGCAGCAGUGAGGAAUAUUGGUCAAUGGGAGGAAUCCUGAACCAGCCAUGCCGCGUGCAGGACGACGGCUCUACGAGUUGUAAACUGCUUUUGUACCGGGGUAAAAUGCCUUACGUGUAGGGUUUUGAAAGUACGGUACGAAUAAGGAUCGGCUAACUCCGUGCCAGCAGCCGCGGUAAUACGGAGGAUCCGAGCGUUAUCCGGCUUCAUUGGGUUUAAAGGGUGCGUCGGCGGUCGGAUAAGUUAGAGGUGAAAUCCCGGGGCUCAACUUCGGAAUUGCCUCUGAUACUGUUAGGCUAGAGAGGAGUUGCGGUAGGCGGAAUGUAUGGUGUAGCGGUGAAAUGCUUAGAGAUCGUACAGAACACCGAUUGCGAAGGCAGCAUACCAAGCUAAUUCUGACGUUGAGGCACGAAAGCGUGGGGAGCAAACAGGAUUAGAUACCCGAGUAGUC
RNAcentral lists this ribosomal RNA (460 nucleotides) under uncultured bacterium. Its description in RNAcentral is "partial 16S ribosomal RNA". It matches the Rfam family "Bacterial small subunit ribosomal RNA", at positions 338 to 795 of the family's 1533-position model. The record is from RNAcentral.